GUCCAUGUAGUAUAUCCAAUAUACUGGUCUUGUAAACCAGAGAAGGGAAUAAACUCCCCAUAGACU
Molecule: transfer RNA, 66 nt
Filed under: Tonatia bidens (Spix's round-eared bat)
Lineage: Eukaryota; Metazoa; Chordata; Mammalia; Chiroptera; Phyllostomidae
Description: tRNA-Thr
Source: RNAcentral